This 784-nucleotide ribosomal RNA is filed under the name uncultured bacterium. RNAcentral's name for it is "bacterial SSU rRNA". It matches the Rfam family "Bacterial small subunit ribosomal RNA", at positions 72 to 867 of the family's 1533-position model. The record is from RNAcentral.
AUGAGAGCUUGCUCUCGGAAGAUCUAGUGGCGAACGGGUGAGUAACACGUGAGAAACCUGCCCUGGAGUGGGGAAUAACUCGGGGAAACCCGAGCUAAUACCGCAUACCCUUGGAUGACCGCAUGGUCGACCAAGGAAAGAUUUAUCGCUCUAGGAGGGUCUCGCGGCCUAUCAGCUAGUUGGUGGGGUAAUGGCCUACCAAGGCAACGACGGGUAGCUGGUUUGAGAGAACGAUCAGCCACACUGGGGCUGAGACACGGCCCAGACUCCUACGGGAGGCAGCAGUGGGGAAUCUUGCGCAAUGGGCGAAAGCCUGACGCAGCAACGCCGCGUGCGGGAUGACGGCCUUCGUGGUUGUAAACCGCUUUCAGCAGGGACGAAAAUGACGGUACCUGCAGAAGAAGCCCCGGCUAACUACGUGCCAGCAGCCGCGGUAACACGUAGGGGGCAAGCGUUGUCCGGAUUCAUUGGGCGUAAAGAGCUCGUAGGCGGUUCAGUAAGUCAGGUGUGAAAGCUCCGAGCUCAACUCGGAGAGGCCACCUGAUACUGCUGUGACUUGAGUCCAGUAGAGGAGCGUGGAACUCCUGGUGUAGCGGUGGAAUGCGCAGAUAUCAGGAAGAACACCUGCAGCGAAGGCGGCGCUCUGGGCUGGAACUGACGCUGAGGAGCGAAAGCAUGGGUAGCAAACAGGAUUAGAUACCCUGGUAGUCCAUGCCGUAAACGUUGGGCACUAGGUGUGGGGAGCCGUCAACGCUCUCUGUGCCGUAGCUAACGCAUUAAGUGC